AAUCGUGAGAGACCACCGGGAUUGCCUUAGUAACGGCGAGUGAAGCGGCAACAGCCCAAAUUUGAAAUCUGGCCCCCGGGUCCGAGUUGUAAUUUGCAGAGGAUGCCUCGGCGUAAGCCCCGAUCGAAGUUCCUUGGAACAGUGACAUCGUAGAGGGUGAGAAUCCCGUCCGUGGUCGGUGGCGGCUGCCGUGUGAGGCUCCUUCGACGAGUCGAGUUGUUUGGGAAUGCAGCUCUAAAUGGGAGGUAAAUUCUUCCAAGGCUAAAUAUCAGCCAGAGACCGAUAGCGCACAAGUAGAGUGAUCGAAAGGUGAAAAGCACUUUGAAAAGAGGGUUAAACAGCACGUGAAAUUGUUGAAAGGGAAGCGCUUGCAACCAGAGUUGCCCGGGCGGUUCAGCCGGCUUCUGGCCCGGUGUACUUCCGUUCGGGCAGGCCAGCAUCAGUUCGGCCGGCCGGACAAAGGCCGUGGGAAUGUAGCACCCUCGGGUGUGUUAUAGCCCGCGGCACAAUACGGCCUGGCUGGACUGAGGUCCGCGCCUCGGCAAGGAUGCUGGCGUAAUGGUUGUCAGCGGCCCGUCUUGAAACACGGACCAAGGAGUCUAACAUCUGUGCGAGUGUUCGGGUGUCAAACCCGUGAGCGUAAUGAAAGUGAACGGAGGUGGGAGCCCUCGGGCGCACCAUCGACCGAUCCUGAUGUCCUCGGAUGGAUUUGAGUAUGAGCAUAGCUGUUGGGACCCGAAAGAUGGUGAACUAUGCGUGAAUAGGGUGAAGCCAGAGGAAACUCUGGUGGAGGCUCGCAGCGGUUCUGACGUGCAAAUCGAUCGUCAAAUUUGCGCAUAGGGGCGAAAGACUAAUCGAACCAUCGCUACUAGGUGGUUGGGAGGCCGGGAGCCCCUUUCUAGGGGCCUUCCAAGGCCUAGUCGAGGGGUGCAUGGGGCCCGUAGGUCCCUCCUCCCCACGGCAACGCCGGUCAGAUGCGGGGACUCCCCGGCAGCCCGCGACUACCGCCCCCCGCCAUGAAAGUGGUGGCGGGCACCGGCCUAGUGCGCCGGGCAUGGUAACAACGUCGCGGGCGGGGUAACCCGCAGCCGGGCCCUACGGCCGCCCAGGGGGGUGGCUAGGGGCUCGGUUCACGGACUAGACGCCGGCGGGCCCUCCGGGGUCAGAGGUAUAGUCGUGGCCAUCCCCGAGAGGGGGGCCUCACCAGGCGAGCCGAGCCGUGU
Molecule: ribosomal RNA, 1223 nt
Filed under: Kirschsteiniothelia phoenicis
Lineage: Eukaryota; Fungi; Ascomycota; Dothideomycetes; Kirschsteiniotheliales; Kirschsteiniotheliaceae
Description: LSU rRNA
Rfam family: Eukaryotic large subunit ribosomal RNA
Source: RNAcentral